UGGAGUCUAACCUGUGGCCGUAAUCCGGCAUGGGAACAGUGUUAGGCGGGCAGUUUGACUGGGGCGGUCUCCUCCUAAAGAGUAGCGGAGGAGCGCAAAGGUACCCUCAAUGCGGUUGGUAAUCGCAUGCAGAGCGCAAAGGUAUAAGGGUGCUUAACUGCGAGACAUAUAGGUCGAGCAGAUACGAAAGUAGGUCUUAGUGAUCCGGUGGUUCUGAAUGGAAGGGCCAUCGCUCAACGGAUAAAAGGUACUCCGGGGAUAACAGGCUGAUACCGCCCAAGAGUUCAUAUCGACGGCGGUGUUUGGCACCUCGAUGUCGGCUCAUCACAUCCUGGGGCUGAAGUCGGUCCCAAGGGUAUGGCUGUUCGCCAUUUAAAGUGGUACGCGAGCUGGGUUUAGAACGUCGUGAGACAGUUCGGUC
Molecule: ribosomal RNA, 421 nt
Filed under: Euplotes focardii
Lineage: Eukaryota; Ciliophora; Spirotrichea; Euplotida; Euplotidae
Description: partial Bacterial large subunit ribosomal RNA
Rfam family: Bacterial large subunit ribosomal RNA
Source: RNAcentral